UGAACGCUGGCGGUAGGCUUAACACAUGCAAGUCGAACGGCAGCACAGGAGAGCUUGCUCUCUGGGUGGCGAGUGGCGGACGGGUGAGGAAUGCAUCGGAAUCUACUCUUUCGUGGGGGAUAACGUAGGGAAACUUACGCUAAUACCGCAUACGACCUACGGGUGAAAGCCGGGGACCUUCGGGCCUGGCGCGAAAGAAUGAGCCGAUGCCCGAUUAGCUAGUUGGCGGGGUAAGAGCCCACCAAGGCGACGAUCGGUAGCUGGUCUGAGAGGAUGAUCAGCCACACUGGAACUGAGACACGGUCCAGACUCCUACGGGAGGCAGCAGUGGGGAAUAUUGGACAAUGGGCGCAAGCCUGAUCCAGCCAUACCGCGUGGGUGAAGAAGGCCUUCGGGUUGUAAAGCCCUUUUGUUGGGAAAGAAAAGCAGUCGGUUAAUACCCGAUUGUUCUGACGGUACCCAAGAAUAAGCACCGUAAUUCA
This 482-nucleotide ribosomal RNA is filed under the name Xanthomonas sp. oral taxon 037. RNAcentral describes it as "bacterial SSU rRNA". It matches the Rfam family "Bacterial small subunit ribosomal RNA", at positions 30 to 504 of the family's 1533-position model. Lineage: Bacteria; Pseudomonadati; Pseudomonadota; Gammaproteobacteria; Lysobacterales; Lysobacteraceae. The record is from RNAcentral.